AAAAAAAAAGCUUAUAAUAAAAACUUAGAUAUUUAAAAUACUAAGAAGGACAUAAAAAAAUAAUGUGAAUUUUUUAGUUAGUUUAUAAAUAUAAAACAUAAAUCUAAAAAUUUCCAAAUAAGUUAACUUUUUAAUUAAAUUAAAAAUAUAAUUUAGAAAACUUGUUUAAUUGAAAUAUCUUAGUAUACAAAGAAAAAAAAAAGCAAAAGCGAUUUCUUUAGUAGUUAUGAACAAAAAAGAAAAAAGUCUAAAAAUUAUUUAUAUAAUAAUUUUUUUUUAGGAAAAAAAUAUAAAUUUUAAUAAUAAUAAUAAAUAAUAAAAUAUUAUACCUUAGAUGGUUAUAGUCCAGUAAUUUUAUUAUUAAAAUUUUUAAUAAAAAUAAAAUAAAAAAAAAAAAACCCAAGUAAUAUAAUAUAAAAUUUAUAAUAUUAUAUUAAUUUAACAAGGACCACCUUGUAAGACUAAAUAUUAAAAAAUAAUCUAUAGUGUAUUUUAGUACCGUGAGGGAAAGUUGAAAAAGAAUUAUUAAGUGAAAAAGAAAAAAAUUAUAAGUUAACAAACUAUAGAAAAUAAAUUAAUUAUUAACUAUGUGCUUGUUGAAGAAUGAACCAUCGACUUUUAAAUAUUGGUUUUAUAUUAUAAAAAUUAUAAUAGAUUAAUUAUAUUAAUAAAAAUAUGAAAUCAUAGUGAAAACAAUUAAUAAAAUAAUAAAUUAUAUCAAUAUUUAUAAACCCGAAUCUAAGUGAUCUAUUUAUAAUCAAGAUGAAAUUUAAUUAAAAUUAAAUGAAAGUCUGAACUGAUUAAUAAUGAAAAAUUAUCAGAUGAAUUAUGAUUAGAAUGGUGAAAUGCUAUUCGAACUUAGAAAUAGCUGGUUCUCUUCGAAAUGUAUUUAAGUACAGCAAUUAUUUUUAAUAUUUAGAGAUAUAUUUUUUUAUUUAAUUAAUAAAAUAAAAUACUAUAAUAUUUUAAUUAAUAAUUAGUGAGACAUAAUGAGGGAAAAGCUUCAAUGUCAAAAGGGAAACAGCCCUUUAACCAUUAAUUAAGGUCUUAAAAAAUAAAUAAGUGAUAUAAAUAAAAAUUAAGAAAGUAAAAAUAUAAAAAUAAUUAGAAGGUAUGAUUAGAAGCAUCUAUCCUUUAAAAAAUGCGUAAAAGCUUACUAAUUUAAUAUUUUUGUGUCAAAAAUAUUAAAAAGACUAAAUUAUUUACCGAAUUUUUGGAAUUUUUUUAUUAAUUUAUUAAUAAUAUAAAAUUGGUAGAAGAGCGUUUUGUUUAAUAAAAAAAUAAAAAUAUAAACAAAAGUGAAAAUGUUGGUUUUAAUAGUAAAAUAUUAGUAUAUAAAUAUAAUAUAAAAAAUCUAAUAUCCUAAAAAUCUAAGGUUUUUUUUUUAAUAAUAUUAAAAAUUUAGUCAAGACUUAAAAUUUAUUCAAAAUUGAAUAAUUGAUAGAUAAUAGGUAAAAAAUUCCUAUACUAUAAUUUUAAAUAUAUAAUAUUAUAUAUUUAAAGAAGAAGGUUUUAAAAUUUUUUUUUUAUUAAAUAAAUUUAAAAGUAUAAAUAAAUUUAAUAAAAAGAAAAAAUUUCUAAUUAAUACUUUAUUAUUUAUAAAAUUAUAAUAAAUAAUAUAUCAAACUUCCUGGAAAAAAAAUAAUAUUAUUUUUAUAAAAAAUAAUAUACUUGUACCAAAACCAAUACAGGUAGAUAAAUUGAAAAUAUUAAGGGAAUUCAAACUAAAUUUUUUUAAGGAACUAGGCAAAAUAAUCCUGUAACUUUGGGAUAAAGGAUAUCUUAAAAAAAAAAAGAUUACAAUAAAUAUAUCCUAACGACUGUUUAACAAAAACACAAGUUUCCGUAAAAUUGUAAAAAUUAUACAUGGAAGCUGACGCCUGCCCAGUGCUAUAGAAUAUAAAAUAUAUAAAUUUAAUUGAUAACAAUUAUAAGUUAAAAUUUUAAACUAUAGUAAACGGCGGCCGUAACUAUAACGGUCCUAAGGUAGCAAAAUUCUUUGUCGGGUAAGUUCCGACCUGCAUGAAAGGCGUAACGAUUGGGAUACUGUCUUAAAAAAAUAUUUGAUAAAAUAGAAAUAUUUGUGAAGAUGCAAAUUACUUGUACUUAGACAAAAAGACCCUAUGAAACUUUACUGUUAUUUAAAAUUGAAUAAUAAAUUUUUUUAUAUUUUUUAUUAAAUAUUUAAUAAAAAUAAAAAAAAUAAAGUGGGAAGAAUUAAUUCUUUUUUUUUUUUCAAAAAUGAAAAACCACUAAAAAAAUUAAUUUAUUCUAAUUUAUUUUUAAUAAAAAUAUAAAAAAAAUUUUAAAUAGACAGUUUAUAUGGGGCGUAUACCUCCUAAAAAGUAACAGAGGUGCACAUUUUUUAAAAUAAAAAAUUUUUUUCUAAUUAAAUAAUUUUUUAUUAAUUUUUUUGAAUGUAAAGAUAUAAAAAAAUUUGAUUGUAAAACAUAUAUGUUUAACAAGGAUGAAAAUCGGUCUUAGUGAUCUGACAAUAAAAAAAAAACAAAAUAAAAAACUUAGUGGAAAGGUUGUCAAUUAACAAAUAAAAGUUACUCUAGGGAUAACAGGCUUAUCUUUCUCAAAAGUUCAUAUUAACAGAAAGGUUUGGCACCUCGAUGUCGGCUCUUCACUUCCUGAAGUGGUAAUAUAUUUCAAAGGUUGGGCUGUUCGCCCAUUAAAGUGGUACGUGAGCUGGGUUCAGAACGUCGUGAGACAGUUCGUUUUAUAUCUAGUAUAAGCGUUAGAAUAUUGAGAAAAUUUUUUUAUAGUACGAAAGGAUCUAAAAAAAUACAUCUAUGAUAUAUCAGUUAUUAAUAUGAUAAGUAAUUGCUGAAUAGUUAAAUGUAAAAUUUUUAAUUACUGAAAAAAUAUUAAGUAAUAAAAUUAUUUCAAGAUGAAUAUUCUUUU
RNAcentral lists this ribosomal RNA (2910 nucleotides) under Balanophora yakushimensis. Its description in RNAcentral is "23S ribosomal RNA". It matches the Rfam family "Bacterial large subunit ribosomal RNA". The record is from RNAcentral. Lineage: Eukaryota; Viridiplantae; Streptophyta; Magnoliopsida; Santalales; Balanophoraceae.